RNAcentral lists this ribosomal RNA (435 nucleotides) under uncultured bacterium. Its description in RNAcentral is "bacterial SSU rRNA". It matches the Rfam family "Bacterial small subunit ribosomal RNA", at positions 28 to 479 of the family's 1533-position model. The record is from RNAcentral.
GAUGAACGCUGGCGGCGUGCAUAACACAUUCAAGUCGAACGGACGAGACCCUUCGGGGUCGAGUUAGUGGCGGACGGGUGAGUAACGCGUGAGCAACCUGCCUUACAGUACGGGAUAACGUUUGGAAACGACCGCUAAUACCGUAUGAAGCAUAGGGGACGCAUGUUCCGUAUGCCAAAGAUUUAUUGCUGUAAGAUGGGCUCGCGUCUGAUUAGAUAGUUGGUGGGGUAACGGCCUACCAAGUCGACGAUCAGUAGCCGGACUGAGAGGUUGAACGGCCACAUUGGGACUGAGACACGGCCCAGACUCCUACGGGAGGCAGCAGUGGGGAAUAUUGGGCAAUGGGGGAAACCCUGACCCAGCAACGCCGCGUGAAGGAGAAGGGCCUUCGGGUUGUAAACGUUCUUUACCAGGGACGAAGGACGUGACGGUACC